Molecule: ribosomal RNA, 1285 nt
Filed under: human metagenome
Description: bacterial LSU rRNA
Rfam family: Bacterial large subunit ribosomal RNA
Source: RNAcentral
GCCCGUACCGUAAACCGACACAGGUGGGUGGGAUGAGUAUUCUAAGGCGCGUGGAAGAACUCUCUUCAAGGAACUCUGCAAAAUAGCACCGUAUCUUCGGUAUAAGGUGUGCCUAACUUUGUUAAGGAUUUACUCCGUAAGCAUUGAAGGUUACAACAAAGAGUCCCUCCCGACUGUUUACCAAAAACACAGCACUCUGCUAACUCGUAAGAGGAUGUAUAGGGUGUGACGCCUGCCCGGUGCUCGAAGGUUAAUUGAUGACGUUAGCUCUGCGAAGCGUUUGAUCGAAGCCCGAGUAAACGGCGGCCGUAACUAUAACGGUCCUAAGGUAGCGAAAUUCCUUGUCGAUUAAAUAUCGACCUGCAUGAAUGGCGUAACGAGAUGGGAGCUGUCUCGAAGAGGGAUCCAGUGAAAUUGUAGUGGAGGUGAAAAUUCCUCCUACCCGCGGCAAGACGGAAAGACCCCGUGGACCUUUACUACAGCUUGACACUGCUAUUGGGAUAAAAAUGUGCAGGAUAGGUGGGAGGCUUUGAUCCAUAGACGCCAGUUUAUGGUGAGCCGUUGUUGAGAUACCACUCUUUUUUAUUCUGAUAGCUAACUAGCUUGAGUUAUCCUCAAGUAGGACAAUGUCUGGUGGGUAGUUUGACUGGGGCGGUCGCCUCCCAAAAUGUAACGGAGGCUUACAAAGGUUGGCUCAGAACGGUUGGAAAUCGUUCGUAGAGUAUAAAGGCAAAAGCCAGCUUAACUGCGAGACAUACACGUCAAGCAGGGACGAAAGUCGGUCUUAGUGAUCCGGUGGUUCUGUGUGGAAGGGCCAUCGCUCAAAGGAUAAAAGGUACCCCGGGGAUAACAGGCUGAUCUCCCCCAAGAGCUCACAUCGACGGGGAGGUUUGGCACCUCGAUGUCGGCUCAUCGCAUCCUGGGGCUGGAGCAGGUCCCAAGGGUAUGGCUGUUCGCCAUUUAAAGCGGUACGCGAGCUGGGUUCAGAACGUCGUGAGACAGUUCGGUCCCUAUCUGCCGUGGGCGUAAGAAGAUUGAGGAGAGUUGACCCUAGUACGAGAGGACCGGGUUGAACCGACCACUGGUGUACCAGUUAUCCUGCCAAGGGUAGCGCUGGGUAGCUAUGUCGGGAUGUGAUAACCGCUGAAAGCAUCUAAGCAGGAAGCCAACUCCAAGAUGAAUCUUCUUUUAAGAGCUCUUAUAGACUAUAAGUUUGAUAGGCUGGGUGUGUAAUGGAUGAAAGUCCUUUAGCUGACCAGUACUAAUAGCUCGUCUGCUUAUCUUU